Saccostrea cuccullata (small rock oyster) is the source of this 987-nucleotide long non-coding RNA. RefSeq lists it as uncharacterized. The transcript has 4 exons. Lineage: Eukaryota; Metazoa; Mollusca; Bivalvia; Ostreida; Ostreidae. The record is from RefSeq and is a predicted model, not a curated record.
AUUGUUGUAUCUUGUUAUACUGUAUACUUAUUAAUUUGCAAUUUAAUUAGAUCUAUAUCUUACAAUACAAAAACUCGCAUUUAUAAAUAAAUACGACUCAUCACUGUAUGAGUUGAUACGAAUUGAAAUAAACACGUGUUUCCGCUUUGGUGUAAACAUGAUGGUGAUCCAAAAUCUGAACGUCAAUUUUCAUGAUUAUUUCACGACGAAGAUCAUCACAUCAAUGAAUCAAAUAAUACGAACAUGCCUUUGGUAUUAGCAGGGUGCUUUCAGCAUUGCAACAAUACUUUCAUCUGUGAAUACCCACUUUCUAAGCCCACCAUGAACUACGAAGGUUAAUUAAUAUGUAAGGACACCAAUGAACAGACACUUUUCAAUUAUCCUACAUCAUAUACAUGGGUGGUCAAACUCACUGGAUGGUUUAUCAACACUCCCAUGCUCACGAACAGCCUUGCGCCAGGAAUUUUGCCCUGAAGUGACAUUGCAGUCUAUUGUCUCCUUUUUUUUUACAACCCUGGCAGCCAUGCAGGAUAGAAGCUGAUCACUUGUACUUGACAGCAAAUAAUAAUGUCUUGGACAAGUCAAAGAAUUUCCUCCGGUCUUACAGAGAAAUGACAGUUGAUAAAAGAAUGGUGGACACAAAGUAAAAGUGCUCUUCAACAUUUUGUUGAAGAUUUCAGUCUGAUUUGGAAUUCAUCUUGCAAUAUUUCUGUAUUUGUAUAUUUGGAUAUAAGCGACAAAUUUUCAACUUAUUGACUAAACAGUUUUGCAUUUAAUAUUGCCAAUGCUAUCUAUUAUUAUUAUUUCCCUCCAAGAUAACAUGUCAAGUCUUUAUUGUACCCCUUAAGCUCUGUUAUACCAGAAAAAUCUUGUAAUGAAAUCAUUUAGUUUUUUUUUCUUGUUAAAUUAAAUCCAUGAAAAUAAAGAUUAUUUUUAAUGUCAUCAAGAGAAUGGAUUUCUUGUUUAACAAAAAGAUAGUAUACAUGU